Molecule: small nucleolar RNA, 101 nt
Organism: Topomyia yanbarensis
Lineage: Eukaryota; Metazoa; Arthropoda; Insecta; Diptera; Culicidae
Product: small nucleolar RNA snR60/Z15/Z230/Z193/J17
Exons: 1
Source: RefSeq, a predicted model, not a curated record
AAUCUAUCAAUGAUGAUGCAUAGUUCAUUUGACUUAUGCAGAAUGAUAACUAAUUUAUACUAUCUUGAAAUUGGUCUUUCACCCCUAGCUGAGAAUAGACC